GCUUGCUCUGUGGAUCAGUGGCGAACGGGUGAGUAACACGUGAGCAAUCUGCCCCUGACUCUGGGAUAAGCGCUGGAAACGGCGUCUAAUACCGGAUAUGAGCUGCGGCCGCAUGGUCGGCAGUUGGAAAGAAUUUCGGUCAGGGAUGAGCUCGCGGCCUAUCAGCUUGUUGGUGAGGUAAUGGCUCACCAAGGCGUCGACGGGUAGCCGGCCUGAGAGGGUGACCGGCCACACUGGGACUGAGACACGGCCCAGACUCCUACGGGAGGCAGCAGUGGGGAAUAUUGCACAAUGGGCGGAAGCCUGAUGCAGCAACGCCGCGUGAGGGAUGACGGCCUUCGGGUUGUAAACCUCUUUUAGCAGGGAAGAAGCGAAAGUGACGGUACCUGCAGAAAAAGCGCCGGCUAACUACGUGCCAGCAGCCGCGGUAAUACGUAGGGCGCAAGCGUUAUCCGGAAUUAUUGGGCGUAAAGAGCUCGUAGGCGGUCUGUCGCGUCUGCUGUGAAAUCCCGAGGCUCAACCUCGGGUCUGCAGUGGGUACGGGCAGACUAGAGUGCGGUAGGGGAGAUUGGAAUUCCUGGUGUAGCGGUGGAAUGCGCAGAUAUCACGAGGAACACCGAUGGCGAAAGGCAGAUCUCUGGGCCGUAACUGACGCUGAGGAGCGAAAGGGUGGGGAGCAAACAGGCUUAGAUACCCUGGUAGUCCACCCCGUAAACGUUGGGAACUAGUU
RNAcentral lists this ribosomal RNA (730 nucleotides) under Microbacterium sp. Its description in RNAcentral is "bacterial SSU rRNA". It matches the Rfam family "Bacterial small subunit ribosomal RNA", at positions 78 to 821 of the family's 1533-position model. Lineage: Bacteria; Bacillati; Actinomycetota; Actinomycetes; Micrococcales; Microbacteriaceae. The record is from RNAcentral.